This is a long non-coding RNA of Onychostoma macrolepis, 634 nucleotides long. RefSeq lists it as uncharacterized. The transcript has 3 exons. Lineage: Eukaryota; Metazoa; Chordata; Actinopteri; Cypriniformes; Cyprinidae. The record is from RefSeq and is a predicted model, not a curated record.
CUAAACUUGCAGUACCUUUGUAACGCGCUGUUGCUACAGUAUAUAGUUUGCUACUGUGGAGUUACGGAUUUGCAAAUGAGUCCCUUUUCAUAAUAAUGAACAAGCGGAAGAAAUAAUCGAUUUCUAUCCAGCACCAUGGACAGCGCCACACUGAAGCAACUUGGCUGGCAGGAUGUCAACCAAUCACAGCUGCAGCCUCUUGAUGCUCAUCAACGACAAGGACAAAAAGAGCGCUGACAUCUGUGUCUGAUGAGUACAAGCAGAGUACACGUGCCCAUGCCAGCUUCUCCUUUCGUGUCUUCACAGCGAGUGACUGGACCACCAGCAAUUUCACAUCUGCAUCGCUGUUCAGCUUGACUAAAUGAACAGUAUUUUACAGAAAUAUAGCAACCAUUGUUUCACAUUCUAAAAUAAUUAAUAUAUUGUUUAAAUUUAAGACAAAAGUGUCAAAUAAUAAUGGAACAUAGUCCAUAGUGUGAUGAAGUACACCUGUGAUUUUUUUCUGCAAGGACACAUGUGAACUUGAGGAACUAACUAAGAUAAAAAUCACCUUGAUAACAGCUGGGCAAAAGUCCUUGCAGAAAAGUCAGUUCUAAGAAAAUCAUAUAUAUAUAUAUAUACAUCUUUUUUUUUU